This is a non-coding RNA of Linepithema humile (Argentine ant), 1325 nucleotides long. NCBI's taxonomy places the organism in Eukaryota, Metazoa, Arthropoda, Insecta, Hymenoptera, Formicidae. The record is from RefSeq and is a predicted model, not a curated record.
UCUCUUAUUACAUUUGAAAUAAACGAUUACUCAACACAGAUAUAAAUAGAUAUUAUAAAUAUAUAUACAGGGUGUGCGUAAUUCACGAAUCAAGAGCAAUAGCAUACAAAUUUCGCAAAAACGAAAUAAAAAGUUUUCGAUUUUUUAAUUCAACCAAUAAUUUUUGAAAUAUAAGUGUUUAAAAUUACCAAAUCAAACUAUAUGGUUAAGCAAUCGUUUAUGUUGAGUCAUUCAUACUAUUAUUGUCAAAGAUUCAAAAAAACAAGUAACUGUUUAAUUAUAUAUUUGAUUGGUCAGUUUAAAUCCUUAUAUUUUUUUUUAAACACUUGCUUGGAUUGAAGAAUUGUAAAGAAUUUUUAUCAUUUUGAUUCGCGAAUUACAGGACACCCCAUAUAUAUAUUUAUAAAUAUUUUAUAUAUAAAUUUUUUUCCAAAAAUAUGUGUGCGCGCGCGCAUGUAUGUGUGUGAUGAAACCUUGUAGCAUUUCUUCAUGAAAUUUACACACACUUCUUUUAGCUAUAUAUUAAAAGUUCCAAACGAUUAAAUGUAAGAGAUGCGUCAUACAUCAUAUAUGAAUUAUCAUUCUAACUCUCUAAAUACUGCAAUGGUUUGUACUAUGUCUUCAUUUAAGACUUUGAGGCAUCAAUAAGGACUGGGAAUUCACCUAGUUCCUCUUCUUCAGGAAUAAUUGUACGUAAGGGACCAAAAUAUUAUUGCCUCAGAUCAGUAGUUCAAGAAACAGACUGCUUGAACACAAAUGUGCUAGAUUGCUCCGUUCAGUUUAAAGCGGAUAGAAAUAUUUGUGUGGUGGGUGUACAGGUUCCCACGCAAGUUCCUGCGGUGCAUGAUAAAUGCAUGAUGAAGUCACUUAUAUUAUGAGAAUGUUAUUCUGCUGUGAACAGGCUCAUAGAGUUGGUGUGGUAUUUAACAAGGCCAGAUGGUAUCUCCUAGGAGUUUGCGCUCAAAAUGCAUUCUGUGAUUCUGUGUAUUUCUCGUUCGAAGUCUGUGAUAAUGCAGUCACGUCCGUGAUGCUCUUAUUCGAUCUAUAGUUUUUACACGCCAUUAACGUUAACAAUGGUAUUGGAUGACAAAAAAUAAGUAUGUAUUUCAGAUUUGUGAUAAGACGAGAACUACUCUUGCAUAUAUAAAUGGUGUUAUACUAUAUUCUUUUUUAAAAACGUGUCUGUGUUACUGUAAAUCCGAAAAGUCUGAUAAAAUUGUACAUAUGCUCAACUAUUCUAAUUCUAAUCACAGUUUGCUCUACAAAUAACUUCUUUAACUUGUACGAUUUAAAUUUUAUCUUUAUUAAAUCUUAUAUAUACAUUA